CUGAAGGCAUUUGAUACUCAGGGAAUUUUUCUUGGCGACUGUGUUGGAAAGGGUCUCUGAUUUAUAUCAUGAAAUAAAUUUUAUCAAUUUAUGUAUUUUCUGAGACCCGUGUAUAGAUGAUAGAAUAAUAAGACUUAUGGGAGAAUAAGAAUAUACACAUCUCUAACUUUUCUACGAAUAGAGUAAUUUAUGAAAAUUAUGCAUUUAUCAUGCCAAAAGGAAGGAGAGAUAACAUUAACAUACUUGAAUCGAUUCUCUUGACAAUCCCUCUAAUACGCUUCUUUUGCAAAAAUAUAUAUCAGCAGAUCGAAGCUGGAAAAAUCCAUAUAAUAUUCUUGAGAUUUAUAAUGUCACCGCAGGGAUUGGUGUGCACCAAUGAUUCCGGGAUAGGACGUUAAGCACAUAUAGAGUCUAUUUGCAUUGUAAUUGAUUGUGAUUGCGUAUUCGAAUUAAGUAAGCUUACAAGAGGUUCUUUCAUAGUUGGGGAGUU
Molecule: long non-coding RNA, 490 nt
Filed under: Nicotiana tabacum (common tobacco)
Lineage: Eukaryota; Viridiplantae; Streptophyta; Magnoliopsida; Solanales; Solanaceae
Description: long non-coding RNA (NTAB_LNC012208)
Source: RNAcentral